RNAcentral lists this ribosomal RNA (413 nucleotides) under uncultured Gammaproteobacteria bacterium. RNAcentral describes it as "bacterial SSU rRNA". It matches the Rfam family "Bacterial small subunit ribosomal RNA", at positions 9 to 416 of the family's 1533-position model. Lineage: Bacteria; Pseudomonadati; Pseudomonadota; Gammaproteobacteria. The record is from RNAcentral.
GAGUUUGAUCAUGGCUCAGAGUGAACGCUGGCGGCAGGCCUAACACAUGCAAGUCGAACGGCAGCACAGUAAGAGCUUGCUCUUAUGGGUGGCGAGUGGCGGACGGGUGAGGAAUACAUCGGAAUCUACCUUUUCGUGGGGGAUAACGUAGGGAAACUUACGCUAAUACCGCAUACGACCUCCGGGUGAAAGCAGGGGACCUUCGGGCCUUGCGCGAUUAGAUGAGCCGAUGUCCGAUUAGCUAGUUGGCGGGGUAAAGGCCCACCAAGGCGACGAUCGGUAGCUGGUCUGAGAGGAUGAUCAGCCACACUGGAACUGAGACACGGUCCAGACUCCUACGGGAGGCAGCAGUGGGGAAUAUUGGACAAUGGGCGCAAGCCUGAUCCAGCCAUGCCGCGUGGGUGAAGAAGGCC